GGCUGUGGGUCCCCUCAUACUGCACAAGAGCCUCCACUGCCCUGUGACAGCAACUUCGGAGGGAGGGGCCAGCAGCCGCGAGAGACCGGGGACUGAGGAGCCUCGCCCAAGGUGACACAGGUAGUGUCAGGUCGUGGCCCAGACACUUCUUAGUGCACAGCCUGCGGGGCUGGUCCCGUGGCUGGGGGCAGUUUGAGCAAGAGGAUCUGAACCCAGAUUCCUGGACAGCAACCAAGUAGGGUUUUGGAGGAGGUGGGACCCAGCAGUCGGGUCUUGGGCGGGGUCAGUUCUGGUCCAAUAAUCCUAACUAUUAAAGUCCUGACAAAGUUUUACUCAAAGCAGUAAAAGAAAGCAGGGGAGGGGAUGACAGAUGAUUCCUGACCUGCACACUUAGGCACGAGGUGUGGACCCCCUACCCUUCCGUCUGUGCAAGGCAGAGUUCCCUCCCAAGACCGUGGAUUCCUUAAGGAGAGCCUUCCUGUCUACACCUCACAGGGGGCCUAGGACGGUGGUGAGUUACGGAGUGGACAGACUCCUAGCGGCCCUGCUCACUGUUGGGUGAAACAGGUCCCCCCGAGACAGGAUGAAAAGACAAGGACAGGAGUACCAAGACAGCCAGAGCUCAGAAUGAAUUCAGACAAGAAAGCCCAGGGGGAGUGGGAAGGUGAAUGGGCUUCAGAGGCAGGAGAGCAGGGCGGAUGCCUGGGGAGGGCAGGGCGGCAGUGUGCUCAGAGGUCAAAGGUCUCUGCUGCUUCCCACACCUAAAUUUUGACUUUCUUCUCAGAGAGAACGGUUUUCAUGGCAGGAACAGAAGAGACCCCGUUAGGAGCCAGGUGAAGCGAGCAGAUGGUACGAGGGACCCAGGUCGCUUUAAAUGAUCAGGCUUCCGGGGUCAGACAGGUCCGAUUCUGUGGACCAGCCAUCCCUGAAAAGUCACAGCACAGCUUCCAGGACACGGGGGGAGGGCGGAGACUGACACUACUUUCACCAAAAAGGAAGAUAUGAGUUGGAGAUUCAACACGGACGCACACCAGCCCUGGUGACAGCAUCGAGGCUCCAAAUGAUCAGAACCCAGGGACGUGGGCUGGUACGGGGACACGACAGCUGCCAAGUGCAGGGUCAUCUACUCCGCUCAGUCCCUGUAAGAGAACUCUGUCUGCAACCCAAGGAAGCGGAAGCUCAAAGAUGUCAAGGCAUCUGCCCGGGUCACGGCAGGUCUCGGCUGGCUGGGGUGAGUGCAAACCACAUUCUCCGGCUCCAACGUGAACCUCACCAAGUACAGAAUGGGAACCAAGUCCUGCGAAGAGACGCGUGGUUUCGAGAGGAUUUCAAGCUUGAGGACAACGUGAUGUGGCUGCCACAAGAGCUUCCACGCAACUUCAGCUACAGAGAUGAGCCGUUACCGGUGCCUGGUCAGGGGCAGCCCAGCUGCGUGGUGUCGGCCCCUCUCCCUCCGGGCUGCCCGGCCCGGCCACGUCUGCAGGGCAGGACUCAGUUUAGGGUGCUGGGUUUUAAGAAACCCGUGGGCAAAGCUGGAGGUCCGGUGCUUGCAAGGUCUCAACACCCUGACCCCAAGAAACGGGCAGGAAUGGGGUAUCUGGCCUGCCCCUGGCGACCCUGAGGAGCCUCGAGCCUCAGAGAUCACAAGGGCCCCCACCAAACAGAAGUGAGAGCGCUCCUGAACUCGGAAGUGACAGCCACUCCCCACCACGUCAAGUUUCCUAAACACCCUUUGUCCUCCCACAAAGCACGGUCUCUCGCCGCCUUCCCCACGCGGGAGCUAAAUUCCUGGCAACCCCGGGGAAGUGACGAGGCUGAGCUCACCGAGGGCCCCGUCUUAAAUGAGCGCCAACAGCCCAAAGUAAGGCUGGGACUGUUGGCAGAGGGCUUUGGGCCGCCAGGGUUAAGUACAAGCACAUCAGCAGCCCAACCUCUCGGGUAUCAUGAUCUGCUUCCGAUCAACCUUCAAGGGAACGGAAGGGCAGGAGAACACCGGUCGCCCAAAGGUACAAAAGGUCUGGGGUGGGGGCCGGGGGUAGGGGGAGAGUGAGGAGGCCUGGUCUUCUCUAGGAGCAGACUGACUCCCCAGGAGGACACAAGGGGUCCCUAAGCUUGUGGCAGGGGAUCCGAGCCCAAGGAAAAGCCUGGCAGGGACCAGGGACCGGAAAAGGGAAGGAAGACAUGGGCUGGGGGUGCGGGCAAGGAGCCCUGGCGCACACAGACGUGUUUCCACAGCCCCCCUGCCCACACCCCUGCUGACUCCCUCCACACCUGGUCAGGGUCAGCUUGCUGGAAACGCUGACCCACCAAAAAUAGAAUGAUUUUUGCAACGCAUAUAUUAUUACAUCCUUAUAGAAGCGGCUGCCAGAGGAAAACAUUUUUAUGUGCUGUGGCCGCACAGAUGUUCCACAAAGUGGAUCCAACCAAGUCUGAAGUCAGAGCCCAGCCCACUUGUCCCCAUCAAGCUCCUCUCCUCCGCUGUGGCCUGGAGACGGGAAGGACACGCUUUUCCAAACAGGUGUUAUUAGCUCAACGGUGAGAACGCGGAGACUCAGAGAAGGGGAGCGGACUGUCCGGAUCACACAGCUGGUAAGGGAGCAGGGUAGGACUGACCCAGGUCUGGACAAUCCUGAAGCUUGUUUUUCUUCCAUGAGACCUCUCCGUGGGCUCAACUUCAUGCACAUUCUUUCCCAGAAAAAUCAAAGACAAACCACAAUCCGGGGCUCGGAAAUUCCGAACAGUACCCCACCUCAUCCACCUCCCUCCCCCCCCCCCCCCCCCCCGCAGGGCCCCCUGCGGAUCUCCAGUCCCUUCCUCUCCUGCCUGACUGUCCCUAGAAGCUGAUCCCGCCCAGUGCUGAUCCAGGCCACCUCACGGAGCACAAAGAAGCAAGCGAGUGCUCCCUGAGCUGCGGGCCGUGCUCGCCUGCCUCCUGAAGACGCCACGGGCCUCGUUCCCCUGCUAGAACAUACCGCCCGGCCCAACUGCCAAGCUCAAGUCAAAGGGGAUGUCCCUGCCGUGACACAAGGGCAGGUGACUGCCUUGGAGUUUUCUGGCUUAAAGACAAGUCACAGGGCGCCUGCAUCUGAGUGGGGAGAGAGCUCAGCUUGCAAAGGACCCGCCUGAUCCCCCCACUCGACACAACGUUCCACCUUCGUUUCUAAAUGUUUGGAAUCUGAAAAAACUAUCAAACGAACAUCUGGGCCCACCCCGGAUCGGAAACCUUGGAUCUCCUUCCAGAGAUUUAUGGUCUUGCCUCUUGCCCACGUCUCCAGCUGUCACACAGGAGAAGUGACCUCUCAACGCAGCUUCCUUUCUAA
Molecule: long non-coding RNA, 3320 nt
Organism: Neofelis nebulosa (Clouded leopard)
Lineage: Eukaryota; Metazoa; Chordata; Mammalia; Carnivora; Felidae
Exons: 2
Source: RefSeq, a predicted model, not a curated record